AAAAAAAAAAAAAAAUUCUACAAUGUACUUAUUAUUUGAGAGAAGAGGUUUAAUGGCACUUAAAAAAUUCCAUGCCAGUUUUAUGUUCUUAACUGGAUCAACUAUAAUUGACCUCCUUUACUCGCAUGAAGAAAUCUGUGUUCAGUAGUGAAAAGAUGCAGAGUUAACAUUACAUUUAUCUGCUACUUUGAAAAGCAUGAAUUUUCUAUAUGGGACAAUAGACAAAAUACAGACCAGCUCUAUCAUCUGCAUGUGCAAUGUUUUAAAGACCAUAAACUUUAAUGGGGGUUCUGAGACACAAUAACACAGAAAUUUUCACCUUCUUUUUUCCAUUAUAUGACUCUUUUUCUUCCCUUCUACGCCUUCCUAUUCUGUGCAAGUCUUAUUCUUUCUCAUUAUAAUUUACCAGAAAACUAAAUUUCCAGUUGAACCAAACCCGACCCCGCAACAUAGCAUCAU
RNAcentral lists this unclassified non-coding RNA (459 nucleotides) under Hevea brasiliensis (rubber tree). The record is from RNAcentral. Lineage: Eukaryota; Viridiplantae; Streptophyta; Magnoliopsida; Malpighiales; Euphorbiaceae.